RNAcentral lists this non-coding RNA (232 nucleotides) under Lentilactobacillus curieae. Its description in RNAcentral is "Lactobacillus curieae T-box sequence". It matches the Rfam family "T-box leader". Rfam says of the family: Uncharged tRNA acts as the effector for transcription antitermination of genes in the T-box leader family. T-boxes are found upstream of many aminoacyl-tRNA synthetase genes and some amino acid biosynthetic genes usually in Gram-positive bacteria. Lineage: Bacteria; Bacillati; Bacillota; Bacilli; Lactobacillales; Lactobacillaceae. The record is from RNAcentral.
UAUUAGACAGUGAUGAGAAGAGUAAUCAUCUGAAUUUAAUAAAGAGAGCUUCGGUUUCACGGUGAGAGAAGAUAAAUUCAGUUGAUGAAGAUGAUCUCUGAGUCUAGUUGCGGUCUUUUGGCUAGUAACUCGUUGGCAAUCGUUAACUUGCACGGUAUUCUUACGAGAGUACUGAUAGAGAUGCUAGCCAUGACUAGCAAACCAGGUGGUACCGCGAAAUUUCGCCCUGAAC